Molecule: long non-coding RNA, 683 nt
Filed under: Olea europaea subsp. europaea
Lineage: Eukaryota; Viridiplantae; Streptophyta; Magnoliopsida; Lamiales; Oleaceae
Source: RNAcentral
AUUGACUUUUGCAGUGGAGGAUGGUACUACCAUCAGUUUUUGGGAUGAUUGUUGGUGUGGAGAAGAACCGCUGAAGGUGAAAUUUCCCUCUUUAUCUCGUAUUGCGUUGACACAGUCUGCUACGGUGAGUGAUGUCUUAGAUAUACAUAAUGGGAGGAUCAGUUGGAAUAUUGUUUUUGGGUGGGGAUUACCGGAUUGAGAAUUGGACGAUUAUGUGCUGUUUUUGACUUCUUUGUACGAGGUCUACAUCAGGACAAGAGAGGCAGAUUGUAGUAGGUGGAGAUUAACACGGGAUGGGAUUUUCUCAGUUGGCACUUGUUUUAGAUCUUUAUUGGGUCCUGUGCAGAGUUCAUUCCCCUGAAAAUCGGUGUGAAAAUGUAAAUUGCCUCCACGGGUUGUAUUCUUAUUUUGGACGGUAGUCAGGGGACAGGUGUUAACGAUGGAUAAUCUACAAAAAGUUUUUAUGUUAUAGAGUGGUGUUAUAUACGUCGGAGAGACGGGGAGACGAUUGAUCACUUGUUUCUCCAUUGUGAUGCUGCUCGUUUACUGUGGCAAAAUAUUUUGGCAUCACAACACAUGGAUUGAGUGAUGCCGAGGCGUAUGGAAGACGUGUUAAAGGCAUGGAGGAGAAAAUAUCGCGACAAGGAUUGCAAGUUUGCAUGAGACCUUAUUCCGGGUUGCAU